AGACAAUGAUGAUUCUUAAGAAGUCAAUAAACCAGACAUUGUGGUAACACUCUUCUUUCAUGGCGGGGCUAUAAGGAAAAAAGAGAACUCCUUUUUUUCUUUGUAAGCAGCCAUGGCUGAAGAGUUAAUCCUCUAAUUUGUCUGAGAAAAGGCGAAUCUGAGUCC
Molecule: small nucleolar RNA, 165 nt
Filed under: Arabidopsis thaliana (thale cress)
Lineage: Eukaryota; Viridiplantae; Streptophyta; Magnoliopsida; Brassicales; Brassicaceae
Description: ncRNA (AT4G08425)
Source: RNAcentral